UUCUUUUCAUCCCAAAUCAGUUUGACCUGAUAAAUAUUAAAAUAAAUCAGAAAGAUUUAGAGGAACUUAAACUGUAGGAAAGAUUUGAACAGGAGCAAGUGGGUACUUCGAGACUGCAGCUAGGGCUCUGACUAGGCCUUAAUGGUAUUCUUGAAAUUAACAUUCAACUUGGUACACAUACUUCAGCCCAUGAUUUGGUUACAGGUGGCUCUGUUCAUUUUCAAUCUGCUCCCAACGAUCACAAAGCAAACCAUUGUGCAGCGGAUCUGACACUGAUGGGUCAAAUUCAAAGAAUGAGAAAGAAAAAAGUUCUUACUUCCAGAAUGGAGGUGUGUUUACAAAUACUAAGUUGAGCAUUAAUGGAGAGCCAGGAACGGAUCAUGUUAUGCUCACUGACUGGGAAUUCUAGUGGCUAUUGUGGGCUGGAGAUUCUAUAAUGAACCUGCCACUGUAAUUCAAACGUCGCUAUGUUACCAACAAUAAAUCUGUGAGAGUGGGACUGAACAUGAAGAAGAAUGGCAUGGAAGGUGACAGAGAGGGAGGAGAAUUAUGUGAUUAGGCAUCCCCUGGCUACACAGCACAGGAAGCAAUAAGUUUCUCUCAGGAUGUCUGUACAUAGGUCUGUUCAUUUUUUUUUUUUGUUAACCAGCCUGGGUGUUUUCAGGUUCCUGUCUGGGGAAGAUGCGUUAGAGAUUUCCAAUUUUAGGCAUGGCAUGAUGCCUAUAAAGGCAAAAUUACAGUCUUAGUCUUUUCAUUCACUUGAGAGAUGUGACCCUAGUUAAGAUCAAGGGGGAGACAAGGUAGCACUGUAAUGACCCUGGUGACCCCGUCAAGUCUCCCUCUCAGCUACCACUCUGACAAUACUGAAAGAGUGUGUUCUGCCACUUGGACAUUUCAUGUCAAUUUGUAACAUUUUCAAGAUGGAUAGCAUUGGAGAAGAUGACCAGUAGAGAGUUCUGGUGAGCUUUGUCAGCAGAUCAAACCUUACUGGGACCCACUGACUCGUUCAACACAAGUGCGGAAUCUACACAUCUUUGCAAACAAGAUACAUCCAAUGAACAACUAAUGACUCCAAAUUCGAACUUAGUUUCUAAGAAAUGAACUUCAUUGUAGCAUGUCAAAAUAGUUGAUGACUUGACUCCCAUAAUGUUCAGCCUAGCCUGUGAGUUCAACGGCUAACCGGUGAGACUUCAACUCACAGAGAAGAGAUGAGGAACUCAAGACCCCUUGUCAAGAUUUAUCUUGAACAUGGUUAUUUAGUAACUUUCUUUGUUGCUUUUCUACACAGAGAUGAAUAUGAAACAAAGAUUGAGGACUCAAAACUUGAACGUGAACAAAAUUCUUCCCAAAUUGAAAAAACAAAGAGUGCUGCUAAAUUCCAAAAUUGAGAUGAUGACCAAGCAAUAAAUCAAACCAACAUAAAGGAUAAAAAAAAUUGGUAUGGUCACUGGGCACAUUGGGAAAAGUUGUUAUGGUGGUGAUUACUCACAGCCAGUCAGAAUGAGCAUACAUGGCAGUCGGAGGCUUACAAGUUGAUUGUGAACGAUCUCUACCAGUACUUCUUUGACACCUGGGGCCAGGGAUCCUCAGCAUUAGGCCUGUCCCACCACUACUACCAAGUCUGGGAUUUGUCAGUCUUGGAAACAAUGGGCAUUACUACUGGAAAGCAUGGAGAACACUAGGCCGAACCGAUCUGGUACAAAGUACAAGAGGAUCAUGCCAGAUUUGUGGCCAAAAGAGGAUUCUUGUUCCAACUUGAAAGGACUUGAUGACUCAUCAAGGCAACUCCAAGAAAGGGCUCUGGAUGAGUAAUAAUGUAACUUGAGGCCAAUGUGUGGUCCACCUGAGAAAACAAAGUGAGAGUACCAGUUCAUGAGCAGAAAUAUGGAGUAGCUCAGAGUGUAAAGGGGUGAAUAUUAUCACAAGGUAACGUGGACUGUUACCAUUUCAUGAGAUGAAGCUAAGGGACAUGGUCAAGGGACAGUCCAGAUUUUAAUGAGUGGUAAUAUUCCUUCCAUUUCAGAAUUUAUAACCAACAUUUGCUUUGUAUAAAUGACAUGCAGAGCCAAGUCGGCUGCAUUGAUUCAGUCCUUUAAAUCCACGUUCUGAAAUGGACAGGAAUGCUGACACACCUGUUGGUCUUGGUGCUAUGAUUGUGUGUGCUUGUCAAGCAGUGUGUCUUGGCUCACAACCCUCUCCCUUGGUUUUGGUCUACGGAGUUGUGCAGUUAAAAAUUGGUGAGGGUUGCCUGUUCAACAGCAGUGGGAACAAGGACAAUCCUAACUGUUGAAUAGUAAAUCGCAUCACCAUGGGCGAAUGGAACAUUUUGAGUCCUGCCAAGAAUGGAAGCAAUAAUGAAUACCAAGUGAUGUGAACUCCACAAAACAGAUGACCAAGGUCUGUGCAUCGCUUAUAUUUAUGCAAACAGCACUCAUAGUGACAAAUCACUAUGAAGAAAUUUUGCGAUAAUAAAUCUCCGUUAGCAGUGAAAAAGUUAAGUUAAUUUUGCAGUUUACUAACACAGUUUUUGUGUACCCCUAGAACUAGGGGUGUGCUUCAUCCAAUUUGUAAGGGGUUGCACCCUGACUCAGAAGAUUUUGGGCGGGGCUUGAGAGUCAACAUGGGUUUAUGUCGAGUCAACAAGUGCUUAUACAUGUACAUGUGUAUAUUGGAAAUAUAUCGGAAUCUCUAUCCACAUCCAUGAGGUGAUUUACAGUAUUUCUGAGGCUUGUUUCAAGUCAACUAGAAACUGGUUCAUGAUGCCCUGAAGCCCAUCUGCUUGACAAAUAUCUCAGCCAAUUUUGCUCUACUUGACAUUUCCAUUUCCAUUUUUUGUCUAGACAGUGGUUUCCUGGUCUGAACAUCUUCAUUUCACAAAUAAAACUCAAGCUGUCUUCACUAAGAUCAAGAUCAGAGAGUGAAGUGGAAGAUGUUUUGACGCCUGAUAUCUUGCUGGCUUCUUGCUGAAUGAACUUCACCAGAAAAACCUUUGCUGAAAAUAUUGCUAGCAAGUCUUCUGAUGACACACACACUUUCUUGACAAUCACUGAGUCAAUUGUCUAUCAAAAAGAGUAAGCAAGCACCCAAUAAGUGGUUUGAUAAACUUAAAAACCAUAAUAUUGUAGUGCCGAUAAUCCUAAGGUCUGGGUUUUAUUCCGAGGCUUGCCUUGAACUUUACCCACUGGUGAUAAAAAGACAGCCUGGGCUGAAACUUAAACGGUGUGUCCACCAUUCACCUCAACCGCCAAGCAGUCCCUAAGAGUUCAUCUAUUCUACAAAUUUCUUUUCAAACACUGCUUUAUUCUGGAAUUCUGGAACGUUGGACAUGACUAACAUGGGUGACAAGAUACUCAGUCAUUACGUACAAUGCCUGUGUUUAAGAACACAGUCUGCAAUCUGACCAGUCUCCACAAAUAAAGCCUCUAUGGGCAGUGAAAGUUGCACAAAUGAAGAGACAAACAGAUUUCAGUGCACCGGGACUGGAUAGUUAUUACGGGUGGGUGUGGCAGCAAACAUUUCUUCAACGGUGGUUGAUGUUGUGGAAAGUUAGACUUUUUAAUUAACCUAUCCUCAGGAAAUUGUCACUUAAAAAAGGGUAAAAAGGGAAAAACACUUCUCUGGACCACAACUGACCUUGACAAGUUUAAUGUCCCCUUAAAAGGAUGGAUGAGACUUUCGCCCACACAUUGGGGGCUUUUGGGCAGGUAUCAGUUUAAUGUUCCAUCACUGGUGAGAAGUUGAGAACCAAAUGAACCCCAUCAUUUAUUGAACGUGUGUCUGGAUCAUGUCACUAACAACUUCAGACUUGGCUCAUUCCCAAGACCCAUGAACAAGGAGCUUGUCUACCAAUUAAAGCCCAGACUUCUGGCUGAGUGUCUGAUGGUGUGAGAAGUUGGUCUAUGAACCUUCUCCCCCCCCCUCCACCUUCAGCGAUUCCAAACCCCUUUGAGAAAACAUCCUCAAGUUUUGUGAAAAAACCUUAUCGUAAAUCAGUCAACGGUGAAUAAAAUCACACAGACUCUGACUCUCGUGUGUCUACCAAAUGCAGUUGCCUCCCAUGAGGGCUUAAGCAAAAAAAAAAAAAUCACAAAUGGGGGGGGGACACUUCAGUUUUUGCAUUGUACAAAACUUUCCAGCCAAAAGGCAUAUUUAUUAUAAAGUCUGGAAAGACUUUUGUAGCAUUCCUAAACUCUGUAAAGCCACUUUCCACAUUUUUUUUCAUAAACAUGUCAGGUAUACAGUCAUGCAGAUUAAACAAGUUUGGAAGCUGUGGUCUUUUUUGCAGGCAGUGAAUGAAUGGGUUUAAAGAACGAUGCUGACGGGGAAGGUAAAUUAGGAGCAUGUCAAUAGAAGCAUCUUCUGUUUUUUUUCACAAAGCUGCAACAUGAAAAGCCAUAAUUAUUCAGAAUGGUAUGAUUUUAUUUCAGCUGUUUCCUAGGAUGGACAUUAACCCGGUUCUGUUCUAAUUAUGAAAGUCAUCUUGCAGUCAUGCAUGCAUGACAUUACAUUAACUUUCUGGAUAUGGCAAAAUGACCUCUCCAGAAAAAGCCACUGCCCUUGUCUCUCCACUAGGCUGUCAUAAAUUUAGGGAUAUUUAUGAUCUUGAUCUUGGGUGAGUGUUGACUGUGUUUUGAGGGGAAUAAAUAGCCCAGUUGGCUUUUUUAUGACAUUCCUUAAUCUUUGUUGCAAAUGGUGAAAAAUGUACCACGCAGUACCAGACUCCAAGUUCUGAAGUAGUUAAUGGUGACUGAGAUUUCAUAACUUCACCACACCGUGUCAAAUGCCAACGCUAAAAGUGAUAAGUGAAAUAUUCUCAGGUUUUUUUUGGGUAGCACUCUUUCAGUGCUUGAAUUCCUUGAUGUUUGCACUGGUGUUCAACAACUUCUCACUGAGCUGAACAACCUCUCGCAUGCAGUGUGGUCACACUAAAUUUAUGACCGAGGCCAAUGGCAGGCAAGUUAUCUGUAUGUUUUGACAGCCUAAGUUGCAUGGUAACCAAGUAUGUGACUUUAUGUCAAAGCAUGGGGUAUGUGGUAAUUUGGAUAGAGCAUUGGAUAAUGUGGUCUUUUGAGGAAUAAGAAAUUCAUUUACAGCUAUCGAUCACAGAUGUAAGCAGAUUAAUUUGAGACUGUAUUCUGUAUGGCAUAGUGUCAAUCAAAAUAAACUAUUUAACGGCAAAGGUUAGCACAAACCUUUAAUUAGAGACGAGAGGUUAAAACAAGGAGAAAACAACAUCAAGAAGUUGAAACUGAAGGUACAGGUGGUUUAAAACUCUUCAGCGAACCUUUAAAAAUGGGGGAGGGGCCUUACAAACAAAGUGUACAUGAAAUCCCCAACUUUUAAACACCCCAUGGAAGUAUGUGUAAGUGGAACAUAGGCUGGAUGCCAAAGCGUAAGUGAAAGUCAUGUGUUCAACGCACCCCACUCAUUUCUCCAGUGACCCUAUAUAACCAUAGCUAGACCAACUGCAGACUAUCAAAUUUUAUCUCCAUAAAUCUGAGACACUCUGCAAAGCGGUGCCUGAGGGGCAUAAAUGCACCAGCCACGUCAUAGAAAGUUUCAAGAAAGACCAAUAAAAGUUCAUUUUCGGUGUAAAUUUCACUGCAUAUCUAAGCAGUGCAGGUGGUGGUUGAAUUACAAUGGUAUUGUUUAUUCUGCGGGCUAUUAAAAGGUUUCCAUGAAACCUCUGCAGUAUUAAUAGUAAGAAAAAGGUUCAUUAAUGUGCAAUUAGAUACCCGACAGUGAUAGAUGUAACAAAUUACUGUGAAUUUUGUAACAUCAUAUCUACAAAUAUUGGGGUUUUCAUAUCUAUUAAUAGGAGGGUCAUGAAGAAAAGGGGGAGGAAAUAGAAAGUGCUUCCUUUUGGUCAAAAUUCUGUUGAAUGAUCACAGAAACAGCAAUAAUUUGGAGAAAUUCAGGAAGACACAGCAUGGCUUUGAACUAUCAAGAAGUUGACGUUAUAAAGAUGAACAAAGAAAUUGACUAGAGCAAGAUUUGAAGUUUGAACCAGCGACUUCCAGAACACUACUGGUGCUCUGUCAAUAUCAGGUUUGCUAGUAGAAAGCCAUAAAACCUGAAAUACCAUAUAGCCAGGGAUCAUGUCCCAAAUAGGCCGACAUGGUGCAACUUGGAAGUGGUGGACACCAGGGACGAAGAAGUUGGCACAGACGAAAAUCUUCCUCAAACAGCAGAAAACAAACUGACUUGGUCUUUUUUAUCCUCCCUCCCUCCCUUCCCCACCCCCCCCCCCAAGGCUACACCUGAGGUAGUACUUACUGGGACACAAGGUCACUGCUGAAACUAGUUCAGGCAGCUCAUUUUUUUCCAUGGGACAGUUCCAGGGAGUAAAAUCAGAACUCAAACUCAACUCUACAGGGGAACUGGAGCAUAAUUUGGAUGAUUAGUAUUCAAGGUGGGACAAAUUAGAUAAUUAUGGUGGAUGAUGAUGCUGACAAUCCAAAAGGAAAAAGAAAAUGCUGUAUCAGCUUGUGCUGCAGUUGUCAUUUAAAGGAGAAUCUGGCCCAUUAAUCGGUGUUUUAUAGAAUGAACGAUUUAGUGAAGGUGUUAACAGCCAAAUUUACUGGCUUAGCGAAAAUUCAGACAAGGAUCAGAAGCAAGCAUGAUGCUAGUGACAAUUUGGCUUCAGGGUAACGGUGUUUUUUUUCCGCCAAAUAUUCUCUGUUGUGUCUCGGUCUGCACAAAACAGCUUUUGCUCUUAUCCUUUGUCCAUAUAAUAAAUAAUAUUCAAGAGUUUAGAAUUUUUUGUAAGGAAUGGGGCUGUUACUGAACACGGUCUUGGGUGUAAAAGAAAAGAGGUAAUGUUGUUUGGAAAUAGCUCAAUAAUCCCAGAAAAUGAAGACAAUGUGCAUUUGUAAUGUAAUUUUCAACCUCAUACCUUGUAAAUAAGAGAGCUACGUGUUAGUGAACAAAGAUCAUACAUCAAGUUUGACAAAAUUAAUGUAACUUUGGUUUAAUUUAUAACCAAAUUAAUUCUAAUCAAUUCAAAUAUUAAACAAGUGUUUGGUUUGAAGUAGGCCUUUGCUUCAAAUAAUAAGAACGUUAAAUCUUUCGACUUUUUUUUUCAAGCAGGAUGUACAAUUUUUUUGAGGGGGUCACACACUUGAACGAACAUGUAGUCUGAAAAGACAAUCUCUCUCCUACUUCCCCUGGAUGGCACUUGCCUUAAAAUUUGUAACAGAUGGAUUUGAAAUCUCCAUGGAGCAAGAGGGCAUGGUGGCAAAGGUUAAAAGCAAUCAUUUCAGUUAUUCAGUUGUGUCAGUAAGAAAACCAGGUGCACAGGUGAUAAAGAGAAGAACCUGAAGAAGCGUAUGUUCUUCAUGAUUCAACCUCAUUCCCAAAAGUAUUAUGGGGGGGUAGUUUGACCAAAAUAGAGCCAAACUUACAAAAGUGACGAGUAAUUUCUCAAACCCACUCCUUACACGUACAUUGUAUACCUUAAUACAACAGAAUCAGUGUGAGAAUUGAGCUUAUUCUCUCCCCAAAAUACAGGAGAGAAAAUGCCUGUUGCCACAUUCUGUGGGUGGAUCAUUCUGAGAGUCUGUAAGUCACUGCUUGGAGAGACCCUUUGGGGAAAUUCAUUGGUAUUUCAGGCUUUUCCUGACAACAUUUGUUGCAUGUCUGGACAAUCUCAAGCAAUGUGCACACUUUUGACUCUUAGGUGUUUCUGUUAGUUGGUGCUUGGUAUCUGCAUGAGGACGCAAAUGAGUUUUGACAGUAACUAAGGUGCACAUCUUACUCAGCAAUUACCCAACAAUAACAGGGCUCCACUUCAUGAUUUAGAGGUCUACAUCUCCAACACACCCUUAAAUUGGUGCUACAGGUCUCCAAUAUCUAGAUUCUUCA
Long non-coding RNA from Acanthaster planci (crown-of-thorns starfish), 7863 nucleotides. The record is from RefSeq and is a predicted model, not a curated record. Lineage: Eukaryota; Metazoa; Echinodermata; Asteroidea; Valvatida; Acanthasteridae.